Molecule: long non-coding RNA, 549 nt
Organism: Mirounga angustirostris (Northern elephant seal)
Lineage: Eukaryota; Metazoa; Chordata; Mammalia; Carnivora; Phocidae
Exons: 3
Source: RefSeq, a predicted model, not a curated record
CGCUGCCGUACAGUCCUCCGAGGCCGGGCUCGUGCGGCUCCCAAGCCUCGCGCACCUGCGUUCCGCCUGUUUCCCGGAGUCGCAGGCCAGGAAGCCGCUGUCGGGGGCGGGGGUCUUUACUCCCGAUUUUAUUUUUUAAAGUAAUCUCUACAUCCAAUGUGGGGAUUGAACUCAUAACCCUGAGAUCAGGAGUUGCAUGCUCUACCAAUUGAGCCAGCUGGGUGCCCUCAAUGCACAUGGUUUCGAAAGGAAUUUGAAAACGUCUAUCAAUAUUUUAAAUUCACAUACCCUUUGACUAUCAAUGCAACACCAGGACAUCAUCAAAUGGAUACAUUUAUAGAGAGAGCGCGCACACGAGCACACAAGCAGGAUGAGUGGCAGAGGGAGAGGGAGAAGCACACUCCCUGCUGAGCAUAAAGCCCAACUCCGGCUCCAUCCAGGACCCUGGGAUCAUGACCUGAGGCAAAGGCAGAUACUUAACCUACUGAGCCACCCAGGCACCCUGAUCAAUCUAUAAUCUUAACUGUUAUUUUAUAUUGUAUUCUCCUG